UAAUUUAUUUCCUCCCAAAUGCAAAACAUUGCCUUAGCCUAAAGGGAUGCAGUUUCUGGGAAGAUUCAAGAAAGGUGUGAAUGAGUUAUGACUUAUGAGUAUGACUCAGCACAUACUGAUAAAAUUCAAUUGUGAUGUACCUUCCAAAGAAGAAUUUUAACUGUUGGUUAUGUAGCUUGUAUAUGCCACUUUCUUUGGAAAGAUCUCUUGGUUUUAUCUGUAUUUCUCUGACAAGAAGAUAAUAUUUACAUGCAGCAAUCCAAUAAAAGAAUCAUCAUGAGCGCCUAAUGCUGUACUGAGUUAAAAUACAAAAAUUAUUAGUCCCAAAGCAUCACAUAUUUUUUAAAGCAACCUCAUAGAUAAGCUAGCUAUCAUCACGUGAAGGCGUGAAAGUCAACGUCUAUUGCCAACACAUUUUAACUUAUAUUAUUAACAUAAGACCAUGAUUGAUAUGCAGAUUCAUGCUCCUUAGUUUUAUAUUAUUAACAUAAGACCAUGAUUGAUUGCAAAGCUAGCUAAGCACUCCACCGAUACUGAAUUUUUUAUAGUUACCUUCUUUGAACCCAUCUAUUAUUGAGUUCACUACCCCCUGCAACCAUUGUUCUCUUACCUUUCUCUGCAAAUUCAUUCACUUUUCUGUUGUUGUUGAGAUCAUAUCAUGGCUGGUGCACUUGUUGGUGGAGCUUUCCUCUCUGGCUUCAUUAAUGUUGUCUUUGACAGGCUCCUUACAAAAGAUGCGGUCAACUUGGUCCUGGGAAAGAAGCUUGGCCCUGACUUGGUUGAAAGGCUGAAGACUGCUCUGUUGGGUGCUGAAGCUCUUGUUGCUGAUGCUGAGUUGAAGCAGUUCGGUAAGCCAUUGGUGAGGAAGUGGCUCGAUAGUCUCCGGGAUGCUGUUUACUGUGCUGAGGACUUGCUCGAUGCUGUCCUCCUCAAAGCCACCACUCAAAAGAAUGCAAGUUCUUCCUGGUCCCUUAGCUUCUUCAUCAACCGAGAUAGGGAGAUGGUAGACAAGAUGGAAGUGGUGGUUAGAAGAAUUGAGGAUCUUGGAAAACAAAAAGAUUUCCUUGGUCUUGAAAAGAUUCCCACUGGUAGCUCAUCAUGGAGGACUCCGUCCACUUCUCUUGUAAAAGGGCAUGUGUAUGGCAGGGAGGAUGACCAGGAGGCCUUAAAGAAGAUGCUGAAUGGCAACAAUGAGCACCACUUGUCUGUGAUUGCUAUUGUUGGCAUAGGUGGGGUUGGUAAAACAACUUUAGCCCAAUGGCUGUACAACAAUGAAGGGGAGUUCAUGAAGGGAUUUGAUCUGAAAGCAUGGGUCUGUGUUUCGGAGGAGUUUGAAGUUGUUGAGACUACAAGGAAUGUCAUAAAGCAGCUCCAUGGAGGUACUUGUAGUCUCGAUGAUUUCAAUUCACUUCAAAAUGCUUUGAAAGAAGAAUUGUCCAAUAAGAAGUUCUUUAUUGUUCUGGAUGAUGUUUGGAGUGAUGAUGGUGACAAAUGGAGUAAUUUUAUGACCCCUUUCCAACAAAAUGGGAAUAAGGGAAGUAUUGUUCUUCUGACUACUCGGGAGGAAAAUGUUGCUUCCGCAGUUCAAAAUUGUCGCCCUUAUUUUCUCAAGAAGUUGUCAGAGGAAUAUUGUUGGUCAGUGUUUGCAGAAAAUGCAUCUUUUACAGAAUCAAAUGGGAAAGCAGCACUUGAAGAAAUAGGUAGAAAGAUUGUCAAGAAGUGUGAUGGCUUGCCAUUAGCUGCAGAAACACUUGGUCGCUUGUUACGUACAAAGCAUGAUGUCGAGGAAUGGAACAAGAUACUAAUGAGUCAUAUUUGGGGAUUUUCGGUGGAGAAGAGUAAGAUUAUUCCAGCAUUACUUAUAAGUUACUUCCAUCUUCCUAUAUAUUUAAAGGGUUGUUUUGUUUAUUGUACUUUAUUUCCCAAGGAUUAUAAAUUUGUAAAAGAUCAAUUAAUCCUUUUGUGGAUAGCAGAAGAUCUUUUACCACCACCAAAGAGAGGAGAGAGUUUAGAAGAAGUUGGUUGUGAGUGUUUUGAUGAACUAACUUCCAGAUUAUUUUUCACGAAGAUUAAAGACGGUGAUGAUUAUUUUGUGAUGCAUGAUCUAUUGCAUGAUUUAGCAAUAUUCCUUGCUGGAGAUUUCUAUUGCAACUCAGAAGAACUUGGUGAAGAGGAGGAGAUAAGGAUUCAGACUCGGCAUUUGCGUGUAGAUUUACGUCGUUGUAGCUCAAAACUUUAUAAUUCUAUUUCUAAAGUAAAAUCUUUGAGAACAUUAUUGUUUAGCGGUUUCUCAUCUCCCAACUGCAACAUUGAAACGGCAACAUGUGAGAUAUUAUCAAAGUGUAAAUACUUGAGAGUUUUAUCCCUUACAAAACUUGAUGAGGUGCCUAAUUUAAUAGGAGAAUUCAUCUAUCUGCGUUACUUGGAUCUCUCUUGGACUGAUAUUAAGACAUUGCCAGAGUCUUUGUGCAACUUGUGUAAUUUGCAAACAUUGAAGUUACGUCGUUGUUAUGAGCUAACUAUGCUGCCUAGUGGUUUGCAUAAUCUUGUGAGUUUGCGCCAUCUUGAUAUUAGAGAAACUGCUUUGGAAGAAAUGCCCAGAAAAAUGAGCAAAUUGAAUCAGUUGCAUGUUUUAAGUUCCUUUGUGGUUGGCAAGCACGAAGACAAUGGAAUCCAGGAGCUAGGAGGGCUAGUGAAUCUUCACGGAUCCCUCGAGAUUAAGAAGAUGGAGAAUAUUGUUGAUGUUAAAGAAGCAAAGAGGGCAAAGAUAAUGGAUAAGAAGCACAUUGAUGAAUUAUGUUUAAAAUGGUCUUCAGGUGAAGAUUUGGUUUCAAGUACUCAAAAAGAAAGAGACAUGCUCGAUAACUUGCAACCGCAUAAAGGGUUGAAAGAGUUGAAAAUCGAGGGAUACAAGGGUACAAUAUUUCCAGAUUGGUUGGGGAACUGUUCCUACGAAAACAUGACACGUGUAUCUCUAGAGUCUUGCAAGAAUUGCUGCAUGCUGCCUUCACUUGGACAGCUGCCAUCUCUUAAGUCCCUGCGCAUUAAAGGUUUGGAUCAGCUGAGGAGUAUUGGCGAGGAGUUUUACGAGAAUGAAGGAGAUCAUCAUUCUUCGCAUAUUGCACCGUUUCCCUCACUGGAGACUUUGGUAUUUUAUAACAUGGCAUGUUGGAAGGAAUGGCACUUACCUGACUCAAAAGCUUUUCCUCAACUUAGAAAGCUUGAAAUAAGAAAUUGCCCGAUGUUGAAGGAAGAGAUGCUUAAUCGGCUAUUCUUCAGAAUAGUUUCUUCUUUGCCCACCGUGGCCAUGUAUCUUGAUGAGGAUACUUUAUCAAUUGGGGGAAGUGAAUCUGUGAUGGAGUCUGCAUUUAACGCAAAGAUCAGCAUCAACCAUCUACGUUGGCUCCCAGAAAUAUUCAUCCAGAGGUGUAGAAAACUAGAAUUCCCCCAGCUACAGCAGCAGAAAUAUGAUUUGGUAGACCUACGAAUACACAGCUGUGAUUCACUGACCUCCUUGUCGUUGGAUGUCUUUCCCAAUCUCAAGAAUCUCAACAUAUUCAGGUGUAGGAAUCUGGAAUCAGUGUCAAUGUCAGAGGCACCACACGCUGCUCUUAAAGAAGUCACCAUCAUUGAGUGCGACAAAUUAGUGUCAUUUGCAGGAGAAGGACUGGCUGCACCCAACUUGACUCAUCUUUAUGUCAGUGGGUGCUCAAAGUUGGAGGCAUUACCACGUGAUAUGAAGAGUCUACUCCCAAGUUUACAGUCCCUCGAGAUAUAUGAUUGCCCAAACAUUUGCAGAUUGCCAGAGGGUGGUUUGCAGCCUAACUUGAAAUCACUUUCUUGGGGAAUUGGUGAGCAACAAAUGAGGGAUCUAUCAUGGAUGCCCAACUUGCACGCCCUCACUCAUCUUACCAUUCAUGGUUCUUUGUGUGAGAACAUAAAGUCAUACCCAGAGGUGGGUUCGCUCCCUCACCUUCCCUCCCUUACCACUCUUCGUAUUGGAUACUUUCAUAAUCUGGAGACAUUGGAGUGCAACGAGCUUCUCCGCCUCACCUCCCUUCAACAAUUGACCAUUCGUUGGUGUCCAAAGCUGGAGAAUAUGGAAGGAGAAAAGCUGCCUCCCUCUCUCUUGCUACUCAAAAUUGAACACUGUCAUUUGCUGAAAGAACACUGCAAGAAUAAGCAUCAACAGAUUUGGCCCAAAAUUUCUCACAUCCCAACCAUUCAAGUCGUCUAAACAGAGAUUUCUGUGCAGGUAAUUCUCUAAUAUUCAUGUUUCUGUGGCAAUUGCAACUUGGUGAGCAUGUUAUGAUCAUUUUCCUUUGUGUGAGGCCCAAGCAAACACUUUUUGGAGAGUCCCUCUACAUCCCAAUUAGUGCAUUAACCUGAACAAAUGAAUGAUCGGAUGGUUAAAUUCUUUUCUGGUUUACCUGGAGUUCUUCAUUCAUAGUCCUUCAACUUUGAGGUGUGACUACAAUCCGAGCUCUCUAGCCAAAAAGUUUGUAAGCAACAGCCGUCUAUUGUCUGUUGUACCUGGAGUUCUGCAUGCAUCCUUAGUAGUGCUUGUAAGUUUUGAGACUUAUUUGUAGCUUUGAUUUGGAAAAUAGUGAAAAUUUUUACCUUCCCGUGGGUUUUUUAAUCUCACAUUGAGAGGUUUUUUCCCACAUUAAAAUUUGUUGUUCUGUUGUUCUGUCUUAUCUUCAAUUAUUUGCUGGUAUUAACUAUUGCCAUAGUGUGCUUAUACUAUGUUUGGGUGCUUCCAAAUUAUGCCUUUGACAGGUUUAGUUUAUUCCUAUCAUGAAUGAUCAUUUUACAAUGUUAAAUAUCUUGCCUAUAAAUUAUAUUGAGGUACAUUCUAUA
This is a non-coding RNA of Arachis ipaensis, 4860 nucleotides long. The record is from RefSeq and is a predicted model, not a curated record. Lineage: Eukaryota; Viridiplantae; Streptophyta; Magnoliopsida; Fabales; Fabaceae.